ACUGGGUUGUCCGAGUGGUUAAGGCGUUGGACUUAAGUUCCAAUGGACAAGUGUCCGCGUGGGUUCGAACCCCACACCCAGUA
Ciona savignyi (Pacific transparent sea squirt) is the source of this 83-nucleotide non-coding RNA. Lineage: Eukaryota; Metazoa; Chordata; Ascidiacea; Phlebobranchia; Cionidae. The record is from Rfam.